UAGUUGGUAAGGUAACGGCUUACCAAGGCGACGAUCAGUAGCCGACCUGAGAGGGUGAUCGGCCACAUUGGAACUGAGACACGGUCCAAACUCCUACGGGAGGCAGCAGUGGGGAAUAUUGCACAAUGGGCGAAAGCCUGAUGCAGCAACGCCGCGUGAGUGAUGAAGGCCGUCGGGUCGUAAAACUCUGUCCUCAAGGAAGAUAAUGACGGUACUUGAGGAGGAAGCCCCGGCUAACUACGUGCCAGCAGCCGCGGUAAUACGUAGGGGGCUAGCGUUAUCCGGAUUUACUGGGCGUAAAGGGUGCGUAGGCGGUCUUUCAAGUCAGGAGUGAAAGGCUACGGCUCAACCGUAGUAAGCUCUUGAAACUGGGAGACUUGAGUGCAGGAGAGGAGAGUGGAAUUCCUAGUGUAGCGGUGAAAUGCGUAGAUAUUAGGAGGAACACCAGUUGCGAAGGCGGCUCUCUGGACUGUAACUGACGCUGAGGCACGAAAGCGUGGGGAGCAAACAGGAUUAGAUACCCUG
This 525-nucleotide ribosomal RNA is filed under the name Clostridioides difficile. Its description in RNAcentral is "bacterial SSU rRNA". It matches the Rfam family "Bacterial small subunit ribosomal RNA", at positions 246 to 789 of the family's 1533-position model. The record is from RNAcentral. Lineage: Bacteria; Bacillati; Bacillota; Clostridia; Peptostreptococcales; Peptostreptococcaceae.